GAUGAACGCUGGCGGCGUGCCUAAUACAUGCAAGUCGAGCGAACAGACGAGGAGCUUGCUCCUUUGACGUUAGCGGCGGACGGGUGAGUAACACGUGGGUAACCUACCUAUAAGACUGGGAUAACUUCGGGAAACCGGAGCUAAUACCGGAUAAUAUUUCGAACCGCAUGGUUCGAUAGUGAAAGAUGGCUUUGCUAUCACUUAUAGAUGGACCUGCGCCGUAUUAGCUAGUUGGUAAGGUAACGGCUUACCAAGGCAACGAUACGUAGCCGACCUGAGAGGGUGAUCGGCCACACUGGAACUGAAACACGGUCCAGACUCCUACGGGAGGCAGCAGUAGGGAAUCUUCCGCAAUGGGCGAAAGCCUGACGGAGCAACGCCGCGUGAGUGAUGAAGGUCUUCGGAUCGUAAAACUCUGUUAUUAGGGAAGAACAAACGUGUAAGUAACUGUGCACGUCUUGACGGUACCUAAUCAGAAAGCCACGGCUAACUACGUG
RNAcentral lists this ribosomal RNA (497 nucleotides) under uncultured bacterium. RNAcentral's name for it is "partial 16S ribosomal RNA". It matches the Rfam family "Bacterial small subunit ribosomal RNA", at positions 28 to 507 of the family's 1533-position model. The record is from RNAcentral.